Molecule: ribosomal RNA, 493 nt
Filed under: uncultured bacterium
Lineage: Bacteria
Description: bacterial SSU rRNA
Rfam family: Bacterial small subunit ribosomal RNA
Source: RNAcentral
AUUGAACGCUGGCGGUAUGCUUAACACAUGCAAGUCGAACGGUAACAGGCCUUCGGGCGCUGACGAGUGGCGGACGGGUGAGUAACGCGUAGGAAUCUGCCUCAUAGUGGGGGACAACGUGGGGAAACUCACGCUAAUACCGCAUACGCCCUACGGGGGAAAGCGGGGGAUCUUCGGACCUCGCGCUAUGAGAUGAGCCUGCGUUAGAUUAGCUAGUUGGUAGGGUAAAGGCCUACCAAGGCGACGAUCUAUAGCUGGUCUGAGAGGACGAUCAGCCACACUGGGACUGAGACACGGCCCAGACUCCUACGGGAGGCAGCAGUGGGGAAUAUUGGACAAUGGGCGCAAGCCUGAUCCAGCAAUACCGCGUGUGUGAAGAAGGCCUUAGGGUUGUAAAGCACUUUUCAAUUGGGAGGAAAACCUGCCGGUCAAUACCCGGCAGCUUGACAUUACCUUUAGAAGAAGCACCGGCUAACUCCGUGCCAGCAGCCGC